This is a long non-coding RNA of Struthio camelus australis, 2238 nucleotides long. Lineage: Eukaryota; Metazoa; Chordata; Aves; Struthioniformes; Struthionidae. The record is from Ensembl.
CUCCCAAGGUGACCCGUGUUCAUCGCCGGUGUUCAUCGCCGCCCUCGGGACUUGCAGUAGCACCCGCGAGCCUCUGCGGGAAGUGAGGAAGCGUCGAUCUGGCUUCUGCGGGGCAGGGCAACCCGGUGGGGCGGGGGGGGCACGGGCAGGCAGGAGCUACGGGCGCUCUUGGCUCCCUGUGUUACUUGGGAUGUAGGACCCUCUAGGAAAGCACGGCCCCGUUGGAUGAUAUGACCCUGUGUGGUUCAAGCCUUGACCUUUUCAGUAUUGCUGCCUGUGCAUCCACUUCCAUGUUGGUGGGAUGGUGGUUUUGGACUGAAGCCCUGUUGGAGGUGAGGGGUGAAGUCUCCUACUUGUACUGGGCAGGACUGUCACUGCUAAACAAACAGGAUAUUGCAUUUUGUUUUGGUAGAUGUCUUUCUCUGGUUUGUGCUUGCAUUCCUAGAUAAGGGCUACAGUAAAUUAGACGAGGAGAUGAUGCCUAUGUGAAUCAUGCUUGCCAAGCCGGUGUAUUGCCAGAAAAGAUAUGUGGCUUUCUGGCCUGCCACAGUUGUGACCACCCCGCUUUCAGCACUGGUUUGACCUGACUUUAGAGACCACUUGAGAUGGACAUGCAAUGGGGCAUAUGGGGAAUGUCCCUAGGUGGAUGUCUCUGGGCCUGUCUGCUGUGCCUCUGCCACAACACACAAGAUUCACUGGACAUCUGCUUUCUCCUGCCACAGUUGGAAGAUGGGCCUACAGAUUGUGUUGUUGAUUUCCUGCUAGUGGUGGGUCUAAGGGAGAAGAAAGUUGUUCCUGCCAAGCCGGAUCAGAUGCUGCUUCAUAUCUGCAAUGGCCAACAACAGUCCUUUAUGUGGCCCAGGAGACUACUUUGGAAUAAGCAAGUUCUGACUGGCAAUGGCCUGACAUUUGGCAAGAUUUUGCCCUGUGGUUUUAGCCACAAACAAAAAGAUUCACUGAUGCCAAAGACUGAGCAGCCUUUCUCCUGCUCCUGAGUUCACUGGUUGACAGCUUUCCUGUCAAGUCCUGAAACUCCAGCAGGAACACAAGCCAGUUUUCUCUGUAGCUCCUGACUGCCCUUUGUCAACCUCUCAACAACAGUAUUUUAUUGCACUUAGAUACGUCACAGAAUUUCUUCUAUCUUAGCUUCUAGAGAAGAAGAAAAUGGUCUAUAUUCAAACAGGACCAAAGUGUUUCACAGUAAUCAAACUCUUCCCAAAAAAACAGAUGCAUAGGCAUUGCAGAGGCCUGAAAUUCUGCUUCCAAAGAAGAAGGAAAACAUUCCAAUGUGUUGAAAUGACUUGCACCGUAGCAUAUGCUGCAGAGGAAACAAGGCAGCUCUGGUGCUUUAGUAAAUGACGCCUAUCUCUUGAGCCAGCGCCCUCCUAUCAGAUAUUUCAUUUCACCAGGGUCAAUACAAGUUUAAUUGCUCAGCUUUAUCAGCGUCUGCUGACUUUUGGAUCUCCAAACUUGGCCAUGUUACAGGAUGGGAGAUUUUACAAGGGCCUUACCCUUAGUAGUAGUCUAAAGGCAGCAAAUUUGCAUUUUGGCAUGUUUGGAAAGCUUAAAAUGAGCUUUAAACAGAAUGAGAUUGUUCAAAUGCAGUCAAAUGGCAGACUUCUCAGUUCAAAUAAUGCAACUCACCCAAAUGCCAGAGAUUCUGUCUUUGCACACAGUCAUUUUGGACUUUGGACAGUUUCACUGAAGCCGGGACAGCUCACCAAUGUUCUGAAGAAUAUUCGUAGUCUGGCCCUGGAGAAACCAGUGGGCAGUGAUUAUCCCCUGAGGACCUCGUAACAAUCUCUGCGCAUGCAUCCAUCUUGGGGAACUGGUCAAUUUAGGGAGGAAAAAAAAAAAAAAGAUUACCUAAUGAAACAGUAAAGGAUGAAUAUUGUGUUAGUUGUGCUACAGCUUUGGCCAAAUUCCAGCUGUAAGUACUAACAGUAUAAGAGUGCCUUCAAGUGCCUUUUUGCUAACAGUGCCUUCAAGGCACAAACGUAACAGAAGUAGGAUCAUUCCUUCCCUUCCUGUUGCCACCCGUGAGACACAGGGCUCUGUGGAGGCAUCUAUCAGCAGGAGAUAAAAGCCUACAUGCACACUGCAGCUCUUGAGCAGCAACUAAUUUCCCCGCUCGUGCUUUCUCAGAUAAUCACCCAUGGACCUUCUGAAAGUGGGGAGCAGGGUGGAACAGAAAUUUCGAAAAAUAAACUGGCCAUUAAUAGCUGAGAAACUGUCUCU